UACGAAGGGGGCUAGCGUUGCUCGGAAUCACUGGGCGUAAAGGGCGCGUAGGCGGGUCUUUAAGUCAGGGGUGAAAUCCCGGAGCUCAACUCCAGAACUGCCUUUGAUACUGAGGAUCUUGAGUUCGGGAGAGGUGAGUGGAACUGCGAGUGUAGAGGUGAAAUUCGUAGAUAUUCGCAAGAACACCAGUGGCGAAGGCGGCUCACUGGCCCGAUACUGACGCUGAGGCACGAAAGCCAGGGGAGCAAACGGG
Molecule: ribosomal RNA, 253 nt
Filed under: uncultured bacterium
Lineage: Bacteria
Description: partial 16S ribosomal RNA
Rfam family: Bacterial small subunit ribosomal RNA
Source: RNAcentral